GACGAACGCUGGCGGCGUGCUUAACACAUGCAAGUCGAACGGAAAGGCCUCUUUCGGGGGGUACUCGAGUGGCGAACGGGUGAGUAACACGCGAGUAACCUGCCCUUGACUUUGGGAUAACUUCAGGAAACUGGGGCUAAUACCGGAUAGGAGCUCUUGUUGCAUGGUGGGGGUUGGAAAGUUUCGGCGGUUGGGGAUGGACUCGCGGCUUAUCAGCUUGUUGUUGGGGUAGUGGCUUACCAAGGCUUUGACGGGUAGCCGGCCUGAGAGGGUGAGCGGCCACAUUGGGACUGAGGUACGGCCCAGGUUCCUACGGGAGGGAGAAGUGGGGAAGAUUGAACGAUGGGUGGAAGCCUGAUGCAGCAGGGCCGUGUGCGGGAUGACGGCCUUAGGGUUGUAAAACGCUUUCGCUCAUGACGAAGCUUUGUGUGACGGUAGUGGGUAAAGAAGCACCGGCUAACUACGUG
RNAcentral lists this ribosomal RNA (467 nucleotides) under uncultured bacterium. Its description in RNAcentral is "partial 16S ribosomal RNA". It matches the Rfam family "Bacterial small subunit ribosomal RNA", at positions 28 to 507 of the family's 1533-position model. The record is from RNAcentral.